GCCAGGUGUGGUGCACACACCUGUGGUCCUAGCUACUCAGGAGGCUGAGGCAGGAGGAUGGCUUGAGCCCAGGAGUUCAAGGCUGCAGUGAGCCACGAUCACACCACUGCACUCCAGCCUGGGCGACAGAGCAAGAUUCUGUCUCUU
Unclassified non-coding RNA from Macaca fascicularis (crab-eating macaque), 147 nucleotides. It matches the Rfam family "Metazoan signal recognition particle RNA". From Rfam's summary of the family: The signal recognition particle (SRP) is a universally conserved ribonucleoprotein. Lineage: Eukaryota; Metazoa; Chordata; Mammalia; Primates; Cercopithecidae. The record is from Ensembl.